AUUGAACGCUGGCGGCAGGCCUAACACAUGCAAGUCGAGCGGAGCGGCGGACGGGUGGGUGAUACCUAGGAGUCGGCCUGAUCGUGGGGGAUGACGUUCGGAAGCGGACGCUGAUACAUCAUACUCUCAGUUGAACCUAGGUCGGUGUAGCUAGCUGGUGAGGUAGUGGCUCACCAAGGCUACGAUCCGUAACUGGUCUGAGAGGAUGAUCAGUCACACUGGAACUGAGACACGGUCCAGACUCCUACGGGAGGCAGCAGUGGGGAAUAUUGCACAAUGGGCGAAAGCCUGAUACAGCCAUGCCGCGUGUGUGAAGAAGGCCUUCGGAUUGUAAAGUACUUUAAGUCGGGAGGCGUUACCGACAGAAGAAGCACCGGCUAACUCUGUGCCAGCAGCCGCGGUAAUAC
RNAcentral lists this ribosomal RNA (407 nucleotides) under uncultured bacterium. Its description in RNAcentral is "partial 16S ribosomal RNA". It matches the Rfam family "Bacterial small subunit ribosomal RNA", at positions 30 to 526 of the family's 1533-position model. The record is from RNAcentral.